RNAcentral lists this long non-coding RNA (208 nucleotides) under Mytilus galloprovincialis (Mediterranean mussel). Lineage: Eukaryota; Metazoa; Mollusca; Bivalvia; Mytilida; Mytilidae. The record is from RNAcentral.
CCAGCUCCAGACCUCAAUUAAACUGAUUGAAAGAUUAUGUCUUCAUCAUAUGAAUAUCAGGCACAAUCCCCCUUGUUAGGGGUUUAGUAUUAUACCAUAAUGAAAUAUAUGAGAAGAACAUAACCCGUGUCAUGCAAACAACUGGUUUUAGAAUAAAUGUGUGUAGUUCCGAUGAAAAGACCCUAUAAGUGAAUCAAUAUUAAAGCCA